This 500-nucleotide ribosomal RNA is filed under the name uncultured Glomeromycotina. Its description in RNAcentral is "partial small subunit ribosomal RNA". It matches the Rfam family "Eukaryotic small subunit ribosomal RNA", at positions 591 to 1092 of the family's 1831-position model. The record is from RNAcentral. Lineage: Eukaryota; Fungi; Glomeromycota.
CCAAUAGCGUAUAUUAAAGUUGUUGCAGUUAAAAAGCUCGUAGUUGAAUUUCGGGAUCGAUACGUCGGUCGUGCCUUCGGUAUGCACUGGUGUCAUCGAUUUCUCCCUUCUGAGGAACCGUGAUGUCAUUAAUUUGGUGUCGUGGGAAAUCAGGACUGUUACUUUGAAAAAAUUAGAGUGUUUAAAGCAGGCAUACGCUUGAAUACAUUAGCAUGGAAUAAUGAAAUAGGACGUUCGAACCUAUUUUGUUGGUUUCUAGGAUCAACGUAAUGAUUAAUAGGGAUAGUUGGGGGCAUUAGUAUUCAAUUGUCAGAGGUGAAAUUCUUGGAUUUAUUGAAGACUAACUACUGCGAAAGCAUUUGCCAAGGAUGUUUUCAUUAAUCAAGAACGAAAGUUAGGGGAUCGAAGACGAUCAGAUACCGUCGUAGUCUUAACCAUAAACUAUGCCGACUAGGGAUCGGAUGAUGUUAAUUUUUUAAUGACUCAUUCGGCGCCUUACG